RNAcentral lists this ribosomal RNA (953 nucleotides) under Mollisia prismatica. RNAcentral describes it as "partial large subunit ribosomal RNA". It matches the Rfam family "Eukaryotic large subunit ribosomal RNA", at positions 37 to 1022 of the family's 3401-position model. Lineage: Eukaryota; Fungi; Ascomycota; Leotiomycetes; Helotiales; Mollisiaceae. The record is from RNAcentral.
AGCAUAUCAAUAAGCGGAGGAAAAGAAACCAACAGGGAUUACCUCAGUAACGGCGAGUGAAGCGGUAACAGCUCAAAUUUGAAAGCUGCCAACAGGCCGCAUUGUAAUUUGUAGAAGAUGCUUUGGGUGUUGGCCUAGUCUAAGUUCCUUGGAACAGGACGUCAUAGAGGGUGAGAAUCCCGUAUGUGACUAGUGCCGCCCCCCGUGUAAAGCUCUUUCGACGAGUCGAGUUGUUUGGGAAUGCAGCUCAAAAUGGGUGGUAAAUUUCAUCUAAAGCUAAAUAUUGGCCAGAGACCGAUAGCGCACAAGUAGAGUGAUCGAAAGAUGAAAAGCACUUUGGAAAGAGAGUUAAACAGUACGUGAAAUUGUUGAAAGGGAAGCGCUUGCAAUCAGACUUGCAGGCGGUUGAUCAUCCGAGGUUCUCCCCGGUGCACUCGAUCGUCUUCAGGCCAGCAUCGGUUUCCGUGGUGGGAUAAAGGCUGUGAGAAUGUGGCUCUUCGGAGUGUUAUAGCUCACGGUGCAAUGCCGCCUACGGGGACCGAGGAUCGCGCUUCGGCUAGGAUGCUGGCGUAAUGGUUGUAAGCGACCCGUCUUGAAACACGGACCAAGGAGUCUAACAUCUAUGCGAGUGUUUGGGUGUCAAACCCAUACGCGUAAUGAAAGUGAACGGAGGUAAGAACCCUUUAGGGUGCAUUAUCGACCGAUCCUGAUGUCUUCGGAUGGAUUUGAGUAAGAGCAUAGCUGUUGGGACCCGAAAGAUGGUGAACUAUGCGUGAAUAGGGUGAAGCCAGAGGAAACUCUAGUGGAGGCUCGCAGCGGUUCUGACGUGCAAAUCGAUCGUCAAAUUUGCGUAUAGGGGCGAAAGACUAAUCGAACCAUCCGUAUGGCAUAUGUUAGAUCAAACAAAGUGUUAGUUUAUCAGUGAGGAAGCCUUGUUCGCAAAGCAAAAUUCA